GGUUGAGUAGCUUAUAGUGUAAAGCAUGACUCUGAAGAUGUUAAGAAGAGAUAUAUCCUCAUACC
Molecule: transfer RNA, 65 nt
Filed under: Pupa strigosa
Lineage: Eukaryota; Metazoa; Mollusca; Gastropoda; Acteonidae
Description: tRNA-Phe
Source: RNAcentral